Molecule: ribosomal RNA, 253 nt
Filed under: uncultured bacterium
Lineage: Bacteria
Description: partial 16S ribosomal RNA
Rfam family: Bacterial small subunit ribosomal RNA
Source: RNAcentral
UACGAAGGGGGCUAGCGUUGCUCGGAAUCACUGGGCGUAAAGGGCGCGUAGGCGGGUUUUUAAGUCGGGGGUGAAAUCCUGUGGCUCAACCACAGAAUGGCCUUCGAUACUGGGGACCUUGAGUCUGGUAGAGGUUGGUGGAACUGCGAGUGUAGAGGUGAAAUUCGUAGAUAUUCGCAAGAACACCGGUGGCGAAGGCGGCCAACUGGACCAGCACUGACGCUGAGGCGCGAAAGCGUGGGGAGCAAACAGG